This 1083-nucleotide ribosomal RNA is filed under the name Salmonella enterica subsp. enterica serovar Bareilly. RNAcentral's name for it is "partial 23S ribosomal RNA". It matches the Rfam family "Bacterial large subunit ribosomal RNA", at positions 1074 to 2141 of the family's 2925-position model. Lineage: Bacteria; Pseudomonadati; Pseudomonadota; Gammaproteobacteria; Enterobacterales; Enterobacteriaceae. The record is from RNAcentral.
UGUGGGAAGGCCCAGACAGCCAGGAUGUUGGCUUAGAAGCAGCCAUCAUUUAAAGAAAGCGUAAUAGCUCACUGGUCGAGUCGGCCUGCGCGGAAGAUGUAACGGGGCUAAACCAUGCACCGAAGCUGCGGCAGCGACACUCAGGUGUUGUUGGGUAGGGGAGCGUUCUGUAAGCCUGUGAAGGUGUGUCGUGAGGCAUGCUGGAGGUAUCAGAAGUGCGAAUGCUGACAUAAGUAACGAUAAAGCGGGUGAAAAGCCCGCUCGCCGGAAGACCAAGGGUUCCUGUCCAACGUUAAUCGGGGCAGGGUGAGUCGACCCCUAAGGCGAGGCCGAAAGGCGUAGUCGAUGGGAAACGGGUUAAUAUUCCCGUACUUGGUGUUACUGCGAAGGGGGGACGGAGAAGGCUAUGUUGGCCGGGCGACGGUUGUCCCGGUUUAAGCGUGUAGGCUGGUUUUCCAGGCAAAUCCGGAAAAUCAAGGCUGAGGCGUGAUGACGAGGCACUACGGUGCUGAAGCAACAAAUGCCCUGCUUCCAGGAAAAGCCUCUAAGCAUCAGGUAACAUCAAAUCGUACCCCAAACCGACACAGGUGGUCAGGUAGAGAAUACCAAGGCGCUUGAGAGAACUCGGGUGAAGGAACUAGGCAAAAUGGUGCCGUAACUUCGGGAGAAGGCACGCUGACACGUAGGUGAAGUGAUUUACUCAUGGAGCUGAAGUCAGUCGAAGAUACCAGCUGGCUGCAACUGUUUAUUAAAAACACAGCACUGUGCAAACACGAAAGUGGACGUAUACGGUGUGACGCCUGCCCGGUGCCGGAAGGUUAAUUGAUGGGGUCAGCGCAAGCGAAGCUCCUGAUCGAAGCCCCGGUAAACGGCGGCCGUAACUAUAACGGUCCUAAGGUAGCGAAAUUCCUUGUCGGGUAAGUUCCGACCUGCACGAAUGGCGUAAUGAUGGCCAGGCUGUCUCCACCCGAGACUCAGUGAAAUUGAACUCGCUGUGAAGAUGCAGUGUACCCGCGGCAAGACGGAAAGACCCCGUGAACCUUUACUAUAGCUUGACACUGAACAUUGAGCCUUGAUGUGUAG